Molecule: ribosomal RNA, 220 nt
Filed under: Streptomyces sp. SP18CM02
Lineage: Bacteria; Bacillati; Actinomycetota; Actinomycetes; Kitasatosporales; Streptomycetaceae
Description: partial 16S ribosomal RNA
Rfam family: Bacterial small subunit ribosomal RNA
Source: RNAcentral
CAUUCACGGAGAGUUUGAUCCUGGCUCAGGACGAACGCUGGCGGCGUGCUUAACACAUGCAAGUCGAACGAUGAAGCCUUUCGGGGUGGAUUAGUGGCGAACGGGUGAGUAACACGUGGGCAAUCUGCCCUUCACUCUGGGACAAGCCCUGGAAACGGGGUCUAAUACCGGAUAACACUCUGUCCUGCAUGGGACGGGGUUGAAAGCUCCGGCGGUGAAG